RNAcentral lists this ribosomal RNA (200 nucleotides) under uncultured bacterium. RNAcentral's name for it is "partial 16S ribosomal RNA". It matches the Rfam family "Bacterial small subunit ribosomal RNA", at positions 29 to 256 of the family's 1533-position model. The record is from RNAcentral.
AACGAACGCUGGCGGCAUGCCUAAUACAUGCAAGUCGAACGAGACCUUCGGGUCUAGUGGCGCACGGGUGCGUAACGCGUGGGAAUCUGCCCUUGGGUUCGGAAUAACAGUUAGAAAUGACUGCUAAUACCGGAUAAUGUCUUCGGACCAAAGAUUUAUUGCCUUGGGAUGGGCCCGCGUAGGAUUAGCUAGUUGGUGGG